RNAcentral lists this ribosomal RNA (424 nucleotides) under Rhipicephalus microplus (southern cattle tick). RNAcentral's name for it is "partial large subunit ribosomal RNA". Lineage: Eukaryota; Metazoa; Arthropoda; Arachnida; Ixodida; Ixodidae. The record is from RNAcentral.
UAAAUUGCUGUGGUAUUUUGACUAUACAAAGGUAUUGAAAUAAGGUUUUAAUUGAAUGCUAAAAGAAUGGAAUAUCAAAGAAUAACUUUCUUAAAAUUAAAAAUUGAAAUUUUUUUAAUUUGUGUAAAAACAAUUAUAUAAAUUAAAGACAAGAAGACCCUAAGAAUUUUUAAAAUUUAAAUUAACACAUUUUUGUUUUAAUUAAAUUUUAACUGGGGCGGUUAAAAAAUAUUAAAAACUUUUUAAUUUUGAAAAUGACCCAUUAUUAAUGAAAAUAUGAUAAAAUACUCUAGGGAUAACAGCGUUAUAUUUUUUGAUAGAUCAUAUUGACAAAAAAGUUUGCGACCUCGAUGUUGGAUUAGGAUACUUUUUUAAUGAAGAUAUUAAAAUAAGAAGUUUGUUCAACUUUUAAAUUCCUACUUGA